AGCAGCAUCACUUCGUCCUUUCUGCCAAGUGGAUAGCUUUCAGCGUAUUCCCAAGUAUUUGAAAGUGCCUUUCAGCGUGUUCAAGUUGUACACUUGGUAAUAACCAGAAGCAACUUGUGCGUGUUAAUUCACGCGGCAAGAGCGGAGAAAAGAGGUCUGCGAUUGGUUAAAUUACUAAGACAGCAGGACUCCCCAGCAAGGAGAAGAAGCUGUUAGUCAAAACAAACAUGGAAAACCUUUUGACAAUUGUAACAUAUUUCUUGUUCAAGUA
RNAcentral lists this long non-coding RNA (271 nucleotides) under Dermacentor andersoni. Its description in RNAcentral is "uncharacterized LOC126533018". Lineage: Eukaryota; Metazoa; Arthropoda; Arachnida; Ixodida; Ixodidae. The record is from RNAcentral.